AGAGCGGUCACGUGCGCGCACGGUGUCGGUACAUUGUUUCGUUCAUUGCAGAGCGGCGGUCUCCCCCCACCCCGGCACCCCUUGUAGAGCCAAGGACUAAUUCACAGAACAGGGAAUUGUAAUAAUCAGUCAGGACCUUCCAGGCUUUUGGAGCCAUGAAGCCAUCAGGAGGAUUCUCUCCACUUCGAGCCAGCUUGCGCAUCUUGGUCCCGGAAAUAAACUCAAAGUCAGCAUGCCUGAGAAUCAGAUGUAUAAUACAGUGUAUGAAGUUCAGCUCCAACUGUAUCUACUAGUUACUGAUGUCAGUCCAGGGGCCAUGGACAAAACUUUACCCCCAUGAGAUGGAUCAUACAAGUCCUGCCCUGACUCCGGAUGUGGCAUUCCAGCAGGAUCACGACCCACGAUGUAGAAGUUAGAACCGGCUACCAUCCUUGCACGACAAUGCCACUGGACCUAACAGAAAUGCAAUACAGAUUGUUGGAUAGUUGUGAUGGUGGCACAGAUGUGGAAUGGUUAUAAGAUGAGCUCAUUUUCUAGGAGCAUAAAGUAACUUAAUACU
Molecule: long non-coding RNA, 559 nt
Organism: Triplophysa rosa
Lineage: Eukaryota; Metazoa; Chordata; Actinopteri; Cypriniformes; Nemacheilidae
Exons: 3
Source: RefSeq, a predicted model, not a curated record